This 460-nucleotide ribosomal RNA is filed under the name uncultured bacterium. Its description in RNAcentral is "partial 16S ribosomal RNA". It matches the Rfam family "Bacterial small subunit ribosomal RNA", at positions 338 to 795 of the family's 1533-position model. The record is from RNAcentral.
CCUACGGGAGGCAGCAGUGAGGAAUAUUGGUCAAUGGGCGCUAGCCUGAACCAGCCAAGUAGCGUGAAGGAUGACUGCCCUAUGGGUUGUAACCUUCUUUUAUAUGGGAAUAAAGUGCAGUAUGUAUACUGCUUUCCAUGUACCUUAUGAAUUAGGAUCGGCUAACUCCGUGCCAGCAGCCGCGGUAAUACGGAGGAUCCGAGCGUUAUCCGGAUUUAUUGGGUUUAAAGGGAACGUAGGCGGGUUGUUAAGUCAGUUGUGAAAGUAUGCGGCUCAACCGUAAAAUUGCAGUUGAUACUGGCAUCCAUGAGUACAGUAGAGGUAGGCGGAAUUCGUGGUGUAGCGGUGAGAUGCUUAGAUAUCACGAAGAACUCCGAUUGCGAAGGCAGCCUGCUGGACUGUAACUGACGCUGAUGCUCGAAAGUGUGGGUAUCAAACAGGAUUAGAUACCCGAGUAGUC